AUUGGACGCUGGCGGCAUGCUUUACACAUGCAAGUCGAACGGUAACAGGUUAAGCUGACGAGUGGCGAACGGGUGAGUAAUGCAUCGGAACGUGCCCGGUCGUGGGGGAUAACGCAGCGAAAGCUGCGCUAAUACCGCAUACGAUCUGAGGAUGAAAGCGGGGACCGUAAGGCCUCGCGCGAUCGGAGCGGCCGAUGUCAGAUUAGGUAGUUGGUGGGGUAAAGGCUCACCAAGCCAACGAUCUGUAGCUGGUCUGAGAGGACGACCAGCCACACUGGGACUGAGACACGGCCCAGACUCCUACGGGAGGCAGCAGUGGGGAAUUUUGGACAAUGGGCGAAAGCCUGAUCCAGCAAUGCCGCGUGCAGGAAGAAGGCCUUCGGGUUGUAAACUGCUUUUGUACGGAGCGAAAAGGUCUCCUCUAAUACAGGGGGCUCAUGACGGUACCGUAAGAAUAAGCACCGGCUAACUACGUGCCAGCAGCCGCCGUAA
This 492-nucleotide ribosomal RNA is filed under the name uncultured bacterium. Its description in RNAcentral is "partial 16S ribosomal RNA". It matches the Rfam family "Bacterial small subunit ribosomal RNA", at positions 30 to 523 of the family's 1533-position model. The record is from RNAcentral.